AUAAAACCCAGCAUUCACAAAGUACAGAAAGCUGGUGCCUGCAAAUCCUUGCUAAUAUCACUUGUUUGAGUGUUCUGUAUCAGCAGCACUGCAGCUGGGAGAUAAACUCUGUUUGCUCCAGCUGUGACACCUGCACUGUAGCUGUCCCUGCUUCUUGAAGCUUGUGUCUCUCAGAUCUUGCUGGAAAACCCAAUUUAGCAUCUUCUGUUGCCUCCCUGAGGACUGCAGGUGACCUCAGCUAAUACCCCGUACGUGUGUCAGGAGAAGCAACUUCAUGUAGGUGUCAGACAAGUUUGAAAGAGUUUUCCUGCCACCACUUAGGAGCACAGCUGCCUAAUUUUGAAGUGUCCUGUGUCAGUUCUGUGUUGAGAAGGUUUGGACUGGAUAAUGGCAGGAAUUGUUCCCUGUGAGGGUGGACAGGCCAUGGCACAGGUGCCCAGAGCAGCUGUGGUUGUCCCUGGAUCCCUGGCAGUGCCCAAGGCUGGGUUGGAUGGGGUUUGGAGCAGCCUGGGACAGUUUGAGGUGUCCCUGGCCAUGGCAGGGGUGGCACUGGAUGGGCUUUAGGUCCCACCCAACCCAAACCAUUGUGUGACUCUGUCAGCCCUCAGGGCUCCCAGCACCAGCUGUGUCAGAGCCCUCCUAGCCCAGGCAGAGCCUGGAACUUGGUGCUGCUGCCUUGGCUCCUGCAGGGCUCGGCUUGGCCAGCUCAGCUCAGCUCAGGCCGCAGGCCAGCUCAGCUCAGCUCAGGCCAGAGGCCGGCUCGGCUCAGCCAGGCCAGCUCAGCUCAGCUCAGCUCAGGCCAGAGGCCGGCUCGGCUCAGCCAGGCCAGCUCAGCUCAGCUCAGCUCAGCUCAGGCCAGAGGCCGGCUCGGCUCAGCCAGGCCAGCUCAGCUCAGCUCAGGCCAGAGGCCGGCUUGGCUCGGCUCAGCUCAGCCAGGCCAGCUCCGUUGCUGGGUCCCUGAGGAGUGCCAGGAUAAGCGGUGCCAGCCGUGUGUGCUGUGCCCCUGGGACAGCCAGGAACAUAUUUAA
This 1028-nucleotide long non-coding RNA is filed under the name Parus major (Great Tit). Its description in RNAcentral is "lncRNA (ENSPMJG00000005647.1)". Lineage: Eukaryota; Metazoa; Chordata; Aves; Passeriformes; Paridae. The record is from RNAcentral.